GCUUGCAUGGUGUAGUGGAAGCAUAAUUGCCUCACACGCAAGGGGUCCCUGGUUCGAACCCAGGUGCAAGCA
This is a non-coding RNA of Sodiomyces alkalinus F11, 72 nucleotides long. Lineage: Eukaryota; Fungi; Ascomycota; Sordariomycetes; Glomerellales; Plectosphaerellaceae. The record is from the annotation of a RefSeq genome assembly.